RNAcentral lists this ribosomal RNA (493 nucleotides) under uncultured bacterium. Its description in RNAcentral is "partial 16S ribosomal RNA". It matches the Rfam family "Bacterial small subunit ribosomal RNA", at positions 28 to 523 of the family's 1533-position model. The record is from RNAcentral.
GUUGAACGCUGGCGGCAUGCUUUACACAUGCAAGUCGAACGGUAACAGGUUAAGCUGACGAGUGGCGAACGGGUGAGUAAUGCAUCGGAACGUGCCCGAUCGUGGGGGAUAACGCAGCGAAAGCUGCGCUAAUACCGCAUACGAUCUGAGGAUGAAAGCGGGGGACCGUAAGGCCUCGCGCGAUCGGAGCGGCCGAUGUCAGAUUAGGUAGUUGGUGGGGUAAAGGCUCACCAAGCCAACGAUCUGUAGCGGGUCGGAGAGGACGACCAGCCACACUGGGACUGAGACACGGCCCAGACUCCUACGGGAGGCAGCAGUGGGGAAUUUUGGACAAUGGGCGAAAGCCUGAUCCAGCAAUGCCGCGUGCAGGAAGAAGGCCUUCGGGUUGUAAACUGCUUUUGUACGGAGCGAAAAGGCUCUCUCUAAUACAGGGGGCUCAUGACGGUACCGUAAGAAUAAGCACCGGCUAACUACGUGCCAGCCGCCGCCGUAA